Molecule: ribosomal RNA, 253 nt
Filed under: uncultured bacterium
Lineage: Bacteria
Description: partial 16S ribosomal RNA
Rfam family: Bacterial small subunit ribosomal RNA
Source: RNAcentral
UACGUAGGGUGCGAGCGUUAAUCGGAAUUACUGGGCGUAAAGCGUGCGCAGGCGGUGAUGUAAGACAGGUGUGAAAUCCCCGGGCUUAACCUGGGAACUGCAUUUGUGACUGCAUCGCUGGAGUGCGGCAGAGGGGGAUGGAAUUCCGCGUGUAGCAGUGAAAUGCGUAGAUAUCAAGAGGAAUACCUGAGGUGAAGACGGGUUGCUAGGCCGACACUGACGCUGAAGCGCGAAAGCCAGGGGAGCAAACGGG